GAGAGAGAGAGAGAGAGAGAGAGUGAUGAGUCCUCUACUAGCUACCUGUAGGAGUCGCUUGUAGGCUUGUAGCCAAAGCGGCACCUCUGUAGCACACAUACGCUGCUUCUCUUCGGGAAUGGCGUCGCUCACUCUCUCACCUCUGCAGCUCUCACAGCGACCGAGUAGUAGUAGCAGUAGUAGUAGUAGAGAGAGAGAGCGAAGCACAAGCCACUCAACGAACCCAUUAUAGGAGUUGUUGCCCUCUAUGUGUUCGCUCUUGGCUCCCUUAGAAACAGUAGUUGUAGUAGGAGGAGGAGGAGGAGGAGUAGGAGUUUUGGUAUUGGUAGUGUUGUAGAAGAAAGAAGGGAUUAGAAAGGAGGAUAAAGGUGCGAUCUUUUUCGAUCUGGGCACGCUUCCAUGGACGCGUGCGAGGCGACGCGGGUGGUGUUCUCGCGGAUCCAGUCGCUGGACCCGGAGCACGCGGCGAAGAUCAUGGGGCUCCUCCUCAUCCAAGACCACGGCGAGAAGGAGAUGAUCCGCUUGGCCUUCGGGCCAGAGUCCCUGCUCCACUCCGUGGUGCUCAGGGCCCGAAAAGACCUCGGCUUGAUCCACCCGCCCACUUCCUCCACCGCGCCCGGAACCCCCACUUCAGCCGGAACUCCACCUCCGCUGCCGGCGCCGGCGCCGGCGCCCUUCCUCCUCGCGCGCCAGAACUCGGCCUCGCGCCUCCCGUCCCCGCUCUCGGUGUCCUCCCCGUCGUCGUGGGCCCCGCCCCCGAUCUUCUCCAGGAGCGGGAGCGUCAACAAGGGGGUUAAUGGGUCGGUGGGAGGGGAGGAGAUGCAGAGUGGUUCCGACGAGGGCUUCAGUCCCAGCAGCGGGUGCGCGUCCCCUUUCUACGGGGGAGGCGGGGGGGAGGCGUUAAUGGAGGAGUUCCCGCUCCAGGACCAGCUCGCGUUCCUGGGCGAGCCCCCGGGGGCGAAGCCCGGCGGCGAGGUGUUCUACGGCGACGUGGGGGGCGGCGGUGGCGGGUGGGGCGAGAACGGGAGCCACCAUGUCCACCACCAUCGCCGGAGCAUCUCCGACAUAUGCCUCGGCGCCGCCGCCGCCGCGGCGGACGGGGGGUGGAAGCCCUGCUUGUACUACGCGCGCGGCUACUGCAAGAACGGGAGCAGCUGCCGCUUCGUCCACGGCCUCCCCGACGACGCCGCGGCGGCGCUCGCCGCGGGGAUGAAGAUGGACGCGGCGGUGGAGCAGCAGUGCCAGGAGCUGCUCCUGCGUUCCAAAAGCCAGAGGCUCAUCGGCGCCGCCGCCGCCGCCGCCGCGUUUCCGUACUCCCCCAUGGGUCUCAUGCCCCCGUCUCCAUCCUCUUCUCCCAAAUGCCUCAGCUUCUUUCUACAGCAGCAGCAGCAGCAGAGUGAAAGCCAAAGGGCGGCCGCAGCGGCGGCCGCAGCUGCUUUAAUGCUCGGCGGUGGCGACGACGCGCACAAGUUCAUGGGUCGAUCUCGAUUGGAAAGAACGGAUUUUGCUAACAUGGUGAAUCCCGGGUCGAGGCAAAUCUACUUAACCUUCCCCGCGGAUAGCACCUUCCGGGAAGAGGAUGUCUCCAACUAUUUCAGCAUAUAUGGUCCGGUGCAAGAUGUGAGGAUCCCGUAUCAACAAAAGCGGAUGUUUGGGUUCGUAACCUUCGUUUAUCCGGAGACCGUGAAGCUAAUUUUGGCAAAGGGGAAUCCCCAUUUCGUUUGUGAUGCUCGUGUUCUUGUUAAGCCAUACAAGGAGAAGGGAAAAGUCCCAGAAAAAUACAGGAAGCAACAGCAGGGCGAAAGAGGUGAUUUUUCUGGGUGUACGACCCCCACGGGAUUGGACGCUAGAGACCCAUUUGACCUUCAACAACUCGGGAACAGGAUGCUCCACAGCAACGCAACCACGGAGCUGUUACUGAGAAGGAGAUUAGAGGAGCAGCAGCAACAAGCUGUGGAGCUCCAACAAGCCAUUGAGCUACAAAGCAGGAGAUUCAUGGGACUCAACUUUUUGGACCUCAAAAACCGGAGCUUUCCCUCUCCAAACACCACCACCACCACCAACCCCACCCCGUUCAUCCCCAACAACUCAACCAUUACCACCCCCACCACCACCACUACAGCUGCUGGAAUUAGUGGUGGCCAUGAAGAGUCGUCUCCUCCACCUGAGAGAGAGAGGGGUUCCAGUGGAGAGCCGAGCGUUGAACGGGAGCGGGUGGUCAACGCAGGCGAUAAGGAGGAAUCUGGUGGUGAGGGGAGCCCCAAUGAGGAUAGCGAUUUCCAAGAGAGUGUGGAGCACAAUUUACCGGAUAGCCCCUUCGCGUCGCCCACGAAAUCGUCGCCGUUCGCGCUCGACGCGUUCACCGUCGCCGAGGAGGAAGAAGCCGCGGCCACGUCAGCUGCGGCCGCCACGUCAGCGGCCGCGGCGGCUAACGUUCUCCUCCCCUCCGCUUUGUUGCCUGCCACGUCAGCGCUCGACAUGGCCUCGUCCACCCCAUGCUUCUUCCCCAUCCCCAGGUUCUCGUCCGGUCACGGGGCCAUUGGAAUGUAAAGAUGAUGAAAAAGAAAGUCUCAUGGGAGUGAGUGGUGCCUCCCCUAAUCAUAGAAAAAUAUUAGAAGCAAGGAAAAGUUAUAGUGGAUUGUAGGAAAAGAGAAUCCCCAGCAUAGUUUCCUUAUAGUUUCUUCGCCCUUUUUUUUUUUCUCUUUUUUCUUAAAACUUGUAAGCUUUUAGAAAAAAAAGAAGAUGGUAAUUACAAAGAGGUCCUCUACUGCCUAUAUAAAACAUAAGAAAGGAGCAAAAUAUUGUAAAAUAGGUCCUCUUAGCACCUGCUACUAUAGUUCUACUACUACUACUACUACUACUACUACUACUACUAAUGGUUUCAGCAAUUAAUUAAGUUACAGCUACGACUGCUACUACUACUUCUACUAUCUACUACCAACCAGAUACUUUUAACACAUGCACGGAGUACAUAAAGGAAAACAGAUGAGAACAACAAAGGACACAGAGAGAGAGAGUGUGAGAAAGAGAGAGAGAGGAAAAGGCCAUUGAUGUGGAAAAGGAGAUUGUGCUUCACCAACAUGUUGUUGAAAGAGGAAAAGAGGAGGAAAAGGAGGAGUAAAAGAGAAAGGGUUGAAAAUUUGUGGUUGGGUUUUAAUUGUUGGCCUCUUCCUGGGUUGUCUCUUAGUUUGCAAAUGGCUUUUAGUGUUUGCUUUUGCAUCUUGUUUGAGUUGUUGUAGCUCGACAGUCGUAUAGACAGAAAGAAAAGUGAAGAAAAAUAUAUGGUAAUUACACGUGUAUUUUCCAGUAAUUAAUUAAUAUAUUGUCAUGCUUCUUUUCACUCUA
RNA transcript from Ananas comosus (pineapple), 3345 nucleotides. It is a transcript of the gene named zinc finger CCCH domain-containing protein 53-like, with no coding region annotated. Lineage: Eukaryota; Viridiplantae; Streptophyta; Magnoliopsida; Poales; Bromeliaceae. The record is from RefSeq and is a predicted model, not a curated record. The transcript is spliced from 9 exons.